This 433-nucleotide ribosomal RNA is filed under the name uncultured bacterium. RNAcentral describes it as "partial 16S ribosomal RNA". It matches the Rfam family "Bacterial small subunit ribosomal RNA", at positions 29 to 507 of the family's 1533-position model. The record is from RNAcentral.
AACGAACGCUGGCGGCAUGCCUAACACAUGCAAGUCGAACGAGACCUUCGGGUCUAGUGGCGCACGGCUGGGGAACGAGUGGGAAUCUACACGUGGGUUCGGAAUAAUAGAUGGAAAGGACUGCUAAUACCGGUGGAUGACGUAACUGAAAAGAUUUAUCGCCAAAGGAUGGGGGCGCGUAGGUUUAGCUAGUUGGUGAGGUAAAGGCUGGCCAAGGCGAGGAUCCUUAGCUGGUCUGAGAGGAUGAUCAGCCACACUGGGACUGAGACACGGCCCAGACUGCUACGGGGAGCAGGAGUGGGGAAUAUUGGGCAAGGGGCGGAGGCCUGAUCCAGCAAUGCCGCGUGAGUGGUGAAGGGCUUAGGGUUGUAAAUCUCUUUUACCCGGGAUGAUAAUGACAGUACCGGGAGAAUAAGCUCCGGCUAACUCCGUG